GAUCAUGGCUCAGGAUGAACGCUGGCGGCGUGCUUAACACAUGCAAGUCGAACGAAGCACUUUAACCUGAUUCUUCGGAUGAAGGUUUUUGUGACUGAGUGGCGGACGGGUGAGUAACGCGUGGGUAACCUGCCUUAUACAGGGGGAUAACAGUUAGAAAUGACUGCUAAUACCGCAUAAGCGCACAGGAUUGCAUGAUCUGGUGUGAAAAACUCCGGUGGUAUAAGAUGGACCCGCG
RNAcentral lists this ribosomal RNA (238 nucleotides) under uncultured bacterium. Its description in RNAcentral is "partial 16S ribosomal RNA". It matches the Rfam family "Bacterial small subunit ribosomal RNA", at positions 15 to 235 of the family's 1533-position model. The record is from RNAcentral.